Molecule: long non-coding RNA, 1652 nt
Organism: Paramacrobiotus metropolitanus
Lineage: Eukaryota; Metazoa; Tardigrada; Eutardigrada; Parachela; Macrobiotidae
Exons: 3
Source: RefSeq, a predicted model, not a curated record
UCCAAGUUUAAAACGCACAGUACGAGUACGAGUACUCACACAUAUUUGUUUCCAGUAUCUUAUUCUUGUAAUCUUGUUGUUCUAGAUUUGUUGUAGUGACGCUUGUUCUUCUUUUUUUUACUAAUUAUUCUGAUUUGCUACGUGUACUAAAUCCAACUGUUCACACAUAUCAGCUACGGAUAUGCGUACUCGUCAGAGCUUGUCAUAAUGCUGCUAUGGACGCAGCAGUCAAGUCAUGUCAGGAGGAAUUUCUGUUCUGGAAUUUCUGUUCUGUGACUUAAAAUUGUGGAGCACUAUGAUCUUUUAAAAUGUGGUUUGAAGAUACAAUAAUUUUUUGUGGACCGUAAUUUGUCGAAACAGACGUUGAAAAUACUUGGAUAUAACAUUUUUGUCAAAAUAAAAUUUUCUGCAAAGUUAGUUCCCGGGUGUUCAUCGCACCCUAAUCGUGAAGGGUAUGUUCACAGCACCCAAAUGUCCUCGUAGUAGUAAUAAGUAGGUGGUAAUAAGACUAGAUAACUGGACUGGCUUUGAUGCGUGGUAAAUGCUGAUUGUGUUCAAGAAACGUUCUGUAUUGGUAAGAAACUGGAUGAAGAAAUGUAGUAUGUGCUGAAAUGAUGUGACGCGUAAUUUUGUUUCUAUCCAAUGUUCAGUUGAAUAACCCGAUAAAGUACAUUAUGAUAACGGGUAAAAAGAAAAAUUACAAAAUAUCGCAGUAACAUUGGCUGCUAUACGACAAAUAGGUAAUAUGUACGUACAGUGUACACCACAGUCUGACUGCCAAGGACAACGCAACUGCACAUAUCGGACCCGAUUCGCCAGUGGGAAACGACAGCUGCCUGGAAUGUGGAUCAGCGAGGACUACGAAUUAUAAACCUAAGAAAAUACUGGAUCAACGGCGAACACGACCGUGGCUGGAAAUGCGGAAAAUAGUGCAGGCCGAGCGGCCGGGUGCACAAGAUCCAAUGGCACUAGUAAUAAAAUAAAUUUCGCCGCCGCAAGAUGAUAAAACUGCUUACGACAAAAUGGCCUGUUACAUCGUACCAGGCUACCUGCCCCGUACACCUCCACUAAAACAACUUCCGCUUUCGAAUUGUAAGCGGUCCAUAAACAAUAUUAAUUAUCUUACGCUGAUAACUGCGUAACCGGAUGAUGAGCGCGCAAAAGGGUUUCACACCUACGUGAACAAAUCCUGUGGCUACAACAUAACACAAAACGAUGCAGAAAAGUGUCUGGGAGUGCGCCACAACGGAAGUUUCCGUGGAUGUACUGUACAUCAUAAAUGUAUUUGGUCCUCGAUAACCUUUAAUAAGUAUCAUGGUAAGAGUACAAUCUAUGCACCAGAACAAAACAGCAUUUACAAAAGAAACUCUUCCUCUAUGCUAUCCUGAUCGGGGAUCGUACCCAUGGUACCCGUAUCAUAACUCAUAAAGGUCACAGGAAGUACCCAUGGUACCCGUAUCAUAACUCAUAAGCGUCACAGAUGCUGCCGGGAUAGCACGUGGCACCGAGGUGUGUCCCAUCACAUUUUCCAAACUAUUACACCACUGCUCUUUUCUGGAUGAGUUCAAUACUUCCCCGAUAAAAACCAUUGCAAAGAAGCAGAACUUGCUACACAUCCAGAGCAAACGAGAUCUAAGUAUAUGUAACUGUCG